AUUGAACGCUGGCGGCAUGCCUUACACAUGCAAGUCGAACGGCAGCACGGAGCUUGCUCUGGUGGCGAGUGGCGAACGGGUGAGUAAUAUAUCGGAACGUACCCUAGAGUGGGGGAUAACGUAGCGAAAGUUACGCUAAUACCGCAUACGAUCUAAGGAUGAAAGUGGGGGAUCGCAAGACCUCAUGCUCGUGGAGCGGCCGAUAUCUGAUUAGCUAGUUGGUAGGGUAAAAGCCUACCAAGGCAUCGAUCAGUAGCUGGUCUGAGAGGACGACCAGCCACACUGGAACUGAGACACGGUCCAGACUCCUACGGGAGGCAGCAGUGGGGAAUUUUGGACAAUGGGCGAAAGCCUGAUCCAGCAAUGCCGCGUGAGUGAAGAAGGCCUUCGGGUUGUAAAGCUCUUUUGUCAGGGAAGAAACGGUGAGAGCUAAUAUCUCUUGCUAAUGACGGUACCUGAAGAAUAAGCACCGGCUAACUACGUGCCAGCAGCCGCGGUAAUACGUAGGGUGCAAGCGUUAAUCGGAAUUACUGGGCGUAAAGCGUGCGCAGGCGGUUUUGUAAGUCUGAUGUGAAAUCCCCGGGCUCAACCUGGGAAUUGCAUUGGAGACUGCAAGGCUAGAAUCUGGCAGAGGGGGGUAGAAUUCCACGU
This 651-nucleotide ribosomal RNA is filed under the name uncultured Janthinobacterium sp. RNAcentral describes it as "bacterial SSU rRNA". It matches the Rfam family "Bacterial small subunit ribosomal RNA", at positions 28 to 674 of the family's 1533-position model. Lineage: Bacteria; Pseudomonadati; Pseudomonadota; Betaproteobacteria; Burkholderiales; Oxalobacteraceae. The record is from RNAcentral.